Molecule: ribosomal RNA, 597 nt
Filed under: uncultured Delftia sp.
Lineage: Bacteria; Pseudomonadati; Pseudomonadota; Betaproteobacteria; Burkholderiales; Comamonadaceae
Description: bacterial SSU rRNA
Rfam family: Bacterial small subunit ribosomal RNA
Source: RNAcentral
GUGCCAGCAGCCGCGGUAAUACGUAGGGUGCGAGCGUUAAUCGGAAUUACUGGGCGUAAAGCGUGCGCAGGCGGUUAUGUAAGACAGAUGUGAAAUCCCCGGGCUCAACCUGGGAACUGCAUUUGUGACUGCAUGGCUAGAGUACGGUAGAGGGGGAUGGAAUUCCGCGUGUAGCAGUGAAAUGCGUAGAUAUGCGGAGGAACACCGAUGGCGAAGGCAAUCCCCUGGACCUGUACAGACGCUCAUGCACGAAAGCGUGGGGAGCAAACAGGACUAGAUACCCUGGUAGUCCACGCCCUAAACGAUGUCAACUGGUUGUUGGGAAUUAGUCUUCUCAGUAACGAAGCUAACGCGUGAAGUUGACCGCCUGGGGAGUACGGCCGCAAGGUCGAAACUCAAAGGAAUUGACGGGGACCCGCACAAGCGGUGGAUGAUGUGGUUUAAUUCGAUGCAACGCGAAAAACCUUACCCACCUUUGACAUGGCAGGAAGUUUCCAGAGAUGGAUUCGUGCUCGAAAGAGAACCUGCACACAGGUGCUGCAUGGCUGUCGUCAGCUCGUGUCGUGAGAUGUUGGGUUAAGUCCCGCGACGAGCGCA